This 454-nucleotide ribosomal RNA is filed under the name Sphingobium yanoikuyae. RNAcentral's name for it is "bacterial SSU rRNA". It matches the Rfam family "Bacterial small subunit ribosomal RNA", at positions 1 to 508 of the family's 1533-position model. The record is from RNAcentral. Lineage: Bacteria; Pseudomonadati; Pseudomonadota; Alphaproteobacteria; Sphingomonadales; Sphingobiaceae.
UAGAGUUUGAUCCUGGCUCAGAACGAACGCUGGCGGCAUGCCUAAUACAUGCAAGUCGAACGAGAUCUUCGGAUCUAGUGGCGCACGGGUGCGUAACGCGUGGGAAUCUGCCCUUGGGUUCGGAAUAACUUCUGGAAACGGAAGCUAAUACCGGAUGAUGACGUAAGUCCAAAGAUUUAUCGCCCAAGGAUGAGCCCGCGUAGGAUUAGCUAGUUGGUGGGGUAAAGGCCCACCAAGGCGACGAUCCUUAGCUGGUCUGAGAGGAUGAUCAGCCACACUGGGACUGAGACACGGCCCAGACUCCUACGGGAGGCAGCAGUAGGGAAUAUUGGACAAUGGGCGAAAGCCUGAUCCAGCAAUGCCGCGUGAGUGAUGAAGGCCUUAGGGUUGUAAAGCUCUUUUACCCGGGAUGAUAAUGACAGUACCGGGAGAAUAAGUCCGGCUAACUUCCAGU